UGCCCAAGUUCCUGGCCUUCCUCGCUGCCGCGCCGGUGGCCGCUCUCAGCGGCGCGCUCGCUUUCUACAAAUACAACGACAAGCCCUUCAUCAACCUGGUCGAAUCCUUCUUCAAUUACACGCUCACCAACAAGCUCUAUGUUUGGAAGAAGUCCGAUAAGGAGCCUCAAGCCGGCGCAAGCCAGGGCAAGCCCUUGGAGCAGGUGUACGUGCCCAAGCUCUCGGAAUCCAAGCUCAAGGACCUCUCCUGGAGCCUCGACAUCAAGGAAGCCGGCAAUCCGGUGACGGAAGAGAAGGGAGAUGCCUCAAUUUAACGGUUCCCGAUACGGAUCCUUGCCGC
This 340-nucleotide unclassified non-coding RNA is filed under the name uncultured bacterium. RNAcentral describes it as "contains 16S-23S intergenic spacer region". The record is from RNAcentral.